GUGGGGAAUAUUGCGCAAUGGGGGAAACCCUGACGCAGCAACGCCGCGUGAAGGAUGAAGGUUUUCGGAUUGUAAACUUCUUUGACGAGGGACGAUAAUGACGGUACCUCGAAAACAAGCCACGGCUAACUACGUGCCAGCAGCCGCGGUAAUACGUAGGUGGCAAGCGUUGUCCGGAUUUACUGGGUGUAAAGGGCGAGUAGGCGGGAUGGCAAGUCAGCAGUGAAAUACCGGGGCUUAACCCCGGGGCUGCAUUUGAAACUGCUUAUCUUGAGUGAUGGAGAGGCAGGCGGAAUUCCCGGUGUAGCGGUGGAAUGCGUAGAUAUCGGGAGGAACACCAGUGGCGAAGGCGGCCUGCUGGACAUUAACUGACGCUGAGACGCGAAAGCGUGGGGAGCAAACAGGAUUAGAUACCCGAGUAGUCC
RNAcentral lists this ribosomal RNA (425 nucleotides) under uncultured bacterium. RNAcentral describes it as "partial 16S ribosomal RNA". It matches the Rfam family "Bacterial small subunit ribosomal RNA", at positions 354 to 796 of the family's 1533-position model. The record is from RNAcentral.